GGUUGUUUAGUUUAAUUAGAAUACAGGUUUUGUAAUUCUGCGGUAAUUUUUUAUUAGCAACCU
RNAcentral lists this transfer RNA (63 nucleotides) under Rhodobothrium sp. DTJL-2012. Its description in RNAcentral is "tRNA-Thr". Lineage: Eukaryota; Metazoa; Platyhelminthes; Cestoda; Rhinebothriidea; Rhinebothriidae. The record is from RNAcentral.